RNAcentral lists this ribosomal RNA (253 nucleotides) under uncultured bacterium. Its description in RNAcentral is "partial 16S ribosomal RNA". It matches the Rfam family "Bacterial small subunit ribosomal RNA", at positions 524 to 776 of the family's 1533-position model. The record is from RNAcentral.
UACGAAGGGGGCUAGCGUUGUUCGGAAUUACUGGGCGUAAAGCGCACGUAGGCGGAUCGAUCAGUCAGGGGUGAAAUCCCAGGGCUCAACCCUGGAACUGCCUUUGAUACUGUCGAUCUGGAGUAUGGAAGAGGUGAGUGGAAUUCCGAGUGUAGAGGUGAAAUUCGUAGAUAUUGGGAAGAACACCGGUGGCGAAGGCGGCUCUCUGGACCGAUACUGACGCUGAGGCGCGAAAGUGUGGGGAGCGAACAGG